AUUCUACCCAUGCGGGGAAGGAUGAGAAGCUUCGACUAAGGUUCGAUUCGAGCGAAAGCGAGAAAG
RNAcentral lists this small RNA (66 nucleotides) under Salmonella enterica. RNAcentral's name for it is "partial RtT sRNA". It matches the Rfam family "RtT RNA", at positions 1 to 65 of the family's 130-position model. From Rfam's summary of the family: This family represents a bacterial cis-regulatory element known as RtT RNA. The exact function of RtT is unknown although it is thought that it may be involved in changing the cellular response in relation to amino acid starvation. The record is from RNAcentral. Lineage: Bacteria; Pseudomonadati; Pseudomonadota; Gammaproteobacteria; Enterobacterales; Enterobacteriaceae.